UUUAUGAAGAACAAAGCAUUCAGUGUUCAAUCAAUUAGGGGUGCAACGUGUUUGAAUUGAGAGAAGUAGGUGGUGUCACAGUUUAGGAAUGGAUACGGUUUGUGAUGGAUAUUUAUUAGGAAAUUUAUUUGCUUUUAGAAACAUGCACAUUUUCAUAUUACUUUGCUAAUGUAGUUUCAACUAGAAAUUCCACAUGUGCUUGUUCGGUUCUUUUCCAUAUGCGCCACUCUUUAUUUUAUCCACCAAGUUUAGGUAUCCU
Molecule: long non-coding RNA, 259 nt
Filed under: Vigna radiata
Lineage: Eukaryota; Viridiplantae; Streptophyta; Magnoliopsida; Fabales; Fabaceae
Description: long non-coding RNA (VRAD_LNC006463)
Source: RNAcentral